GGGGUAAAGCCAGAGGAAACUC
RNAcentral lists this non-coding RNA (22 nucleotides) under Arabidopsis thaliana (thale cress). Lineage: Eukaryota; Viridiplantae; Streptophyta; Magnoliopsida; Brassicales; Brassicaceae. The record is from RNAcentral.